GAUGAAGAACGCAGCGAAAUGCGAUAAGUAAUGUGAAUUGCAGAAUUCAGUGAAUCAUCGAAUCUUUGAACGCACAUUGCGCCCGCCAGCACUCUGGCGGGCAUGCCUGUUCGAGCGUCAUUUCAACCAUCAAGCCCCCAGGGGCUUGUGCUGGGGCCCUGCGGCUGCCUGCAGGCCCUGAAAACCAGUGGCGGGCUCGCUAGUCACACCGAGCGCAGUAGCACAUCUCGCUCAGGGCGUGCGGCGGGCUCCUGCCGUGAAACCCCCCACUGUAACCCCAAAGGUUGACCUCGGAUCAGGUAGGAAUACCCGCUGAACUUAAGCAUAUCAAUAAGCGGAGGA
This 342-nucleotide unclassified non-coding RNA is filed under the name soil metagenome. Its description in RNAcentral is "partial contains 5.8S ribosomal RNA, internal transcribed spacer 2, and large subunit ribosomal RNA". The stretch from base 1 to 120 matches the Rfam family "5.8S ribosomal RNA", at positions 35 to 154 of the family's 154-position model. The record is from RNAcentral.